This 986-nucleotide long non-coding RNA is filed under the name Sus scrofa (pig). RNAcentral describes it as "lncRNA (ENSSSCG00055010154.1)". The record is from RNAcentral. Lineage: Eukaryota; Metazoa; Chordata; Mammalia; Artiodactyla; Suidae.
AGAGAAACAGCAGCUCUGGCCCUGACCUGGCCUCCAUCACCUGCUCAGGUGUGGAGCUUCUGGGCAAUUUGAGCCCCUGAGAGGCUCCUCUAUCUGGCCACGUCGCAGCGGGAUGUGCAGUGGGAUUCCGUCCUGCAAGGCAAUAAGGUCACCGCUAAGAAGGGCAAUGAUGACAAAAGCUGUACCCUGUCCUUGAUGAAGCUGGAGAAGGGUGAUGAGGGCCUGUAUUACUGUGCUGCCUGGUGGACUUCAUACAACAAAAUCUUCGGUGCUGGAACAAAACUUUUCGUCAUAGACAGAAAUCUUGCUACAGACAUGACCCCCAAGCCCACUGUUUUCCUUCCUUCAAUUGCUGAGAUAGAGCACUCUAAGGUUGGAACAUACCUUUGUCUUCUGGAGAAGUUUUUCCCUAAUGCUAUUCAGGUUUAUUGGAAAGAAAAGAAUGACAACAGAGUUCUGGAAUCCAUGCAAGGAAACACCGUGAAGACUGAUGACACAUACAUGAAAUUCAGCUGGCUGACUGUGAGUGAAGAGUCCAUGGGUAAAGAACACAUAUGUUUCGUCAAACAUGAGAAAAACAGAGUAGAACCUGUUCAGGAGAUUCUUUUUCCUUCAAUUAAUGAAGUUGUCUCCUCAGCUGUCAUGCCUACUGAUUCUCCAAAUGAUUGCUUGAAGGAUGAAAGUAUCUCUGAUAGUGAUUCUAGAAAGGCCUGUGUAAGAAAUGAAAGUGGUAAGUUUUUGCAUAUAUUUGCCUUCAUGUCAUCUCCUAGCAUUGCUCUUCUUCAUGAUCAAAUUACCUUUAAAACUUUCCCAUUUGGUGGUAGGAAAAAAGCAAUUAUUUCUGGAACGGUAGAGCUCACACAUUUAAUGAGUGUAUCUCCUAUCUCUGUGGGCAGAUUUGACAUAUAUGUGUGUUGUGUACAUAUAUACAUACACACACACACACACACAUAUAUAUCACACUGUCGAAUAAAUUGGUAUGAACA